Non-coding RNA from Pelobates cultripes (western spadefoot toad), 95 nucleotides. The record is from the annotation of a GenBank genome assembly. NCBI's taxonomy places the organism in Eukaryota, Metazoa, Chordata, Amphibia, Anura, Pelobatidae.
UAACCCUCACGCAGCCUAGGUUUCUUUUAACUAUUUGCCCGCUGGCAGAGAUACCAGCCAGCGGUCAAAUAGUUAAAAGAAACCUAGGCAGCGUG